RNAcentral lists this ribosomal RNA (433 nucleotides) under uncultured archaeon. Its description in RNAcentral is "bacterial SSU rRNA". It matches the Rfam family "Archaeal small subunit ribosomal RNA", at positions 589 to 1021 of the family's 1478-position model. The record is from RNAcentral.
GAACUAGGGAGUGGGAGAGGUAGUCGGUAUUCGGUAGGAAGGGGUAAAAUCCUUUGAUCUAUUGAGGACCACCUGUGGCGAAGGCGGUCUACCAGAACACGUUCGACGGUGAGGGAUGAAAGCUGGGGGAGCAAACCGGAUUAGAUACCCGGGUAGUCCCAGCCGUAAACGAUGCAGACUCGGUGAUGCGCUGGCUUGUGGCCAGUGCAGUGCCGCAGGGAAGCCGUUAAGUUUGCCGCCUGGGAAGUACGUACGCAAGUAUGAAACUUAAAGGAAUUGGCGGGGGAGCACCACAAGGGGUGAAGCCUGCGGUUCAAUUGGAGUCAACGCCAGAAAUCUUACCCGAAGAGACAGCAGAAUGAAGGUCAAGCUGGAGACUUUACCAGACAAGCUGAGAAGUGGUGCAUGGCCGUCGCCAGCUCGUGCCGUGAGA